GGAUAGAUGGGGAAGCUGAGGCCCAGAAGGGGGCUGAGACCACCUCCCAGUUUCCCCAGUGAGGUGGCGCCUGAGCCACGGCCAGGCCCGGCCUCCUUCCACCCGGCCCUGCUGUGCGCGCGGCGGGUGCUGACCUGGCGAGGCCGGACAGGGGACCAGGUCGGGGUGACCGUCACUGACACCUGGACAGUCCUCGUUGUGUUCGGGGUGGGAAGCCCACGGAUCUUCAGAGGGAAGGCACCAGGAGUGGACUGCGGGACACCCAGAGUGGACUGCAGGAGGACACAGAAGCUAGGCUGAAGCGGGAGGAAGCUGGGAACCCUGCACGGGGCCACUGCGCACUGGGACUCGUUACUGGUCCCCAAGACUCAGGGAGAAUGGGGAAGAGUGUAUCACAGCCAUUGGGAACUUUCUUCACCCAUCAAAGCCUCAGGGCUGAAGCAUCCUGAACAAGAACUCAGGAGAGUGAAAGAAACAGUUACCUGUCGGCUGCAGCUGGUACCAGCUCCCCACCCCGUACAGAGACCGAAGCGUCCUCUCUCUCCCCAUCACCCAGCACCAGACUCUGCCCCGCGACCUCAGCCUGCACCUGCUUCCUGGCUCCAUCCAGCCUUCCAGCCUCACUAGAUCAUCAUGGGCCACUGGCCAACACACAGGGCAGUGCCGAGCCCAGGCCGUGGUCACACAUGGCUGGGUUAGUAGCUGAAAACAUUGUUUUUCACUGGCCUCACAGUAAUGGCACCUGCCCCCAUUUUCUGUGAUUGAAUUUUUGGAUCCUGCUACCAGGUUAUGAUAGAUUUUAUGGUAUGUCUCAAGAUAUUGAGAUAAAGGUAA
This 834-nucleotide long non-coding RNA is filed under the name Homo sapiens (human). Its description in RNAcentral is "LY6E divergent transcript". The record is from RNAcentral. Lineage: Eukaryota; Metazoa; Chordata; Mammalia; Primates; Hominidae.